GACGAACGCUGGCGGCGUGCUUAACACAUGCAAGUCGAACGGAAAGGCCGUGCUUUUGUGGGGUGCUCGAGUGGCGAACGGGUGAGUAACACGUGAGUAACCUGCCCUUGACUUUGGGAUAACUUCAGGAAACUGGGGCUAAUACCGGAUAGGAGCUCCUGCUGGAUGGUGGGGGUUGGAAAGUUUCGGCGGUCGGGGAUGGACUCGCGGCUUAUGAGCUUGUUGGUUGGGUAGUGGAUUACCAAGGCUUUGACGGGUAGCCGGCAUGGGAGGGUGACCGGCGACAUUGGGACUGAGAUACGGCCCAGACUGCUACGGGGGGCAGCAGUGGGGAAUAUUGCACAAUGGGCGGAAGCCUGAGGCGGCAGCGCCGCGGGUGGGAUGACGGCCUUCGGGUUGUAAACCGCUUUAGCCUGUGACGAAGCGUGUGUGACGGUAAUGGGUAAAUAAGCACCGGCUAACUACGUG
RNAcentral lists this ribosomal RNA (468 nucleotides) under uncultured bacterium. RNAcentral's name for it is "partial 16S ribosomal RNA". It matches the Rfam family "Bacterial small subunit ribosomal RNA", at positions 28 to 507 of the family's 1533-position model. The record is from RNAcentral.